Apteryx haastii (Great spotted kiwi) is the source of this 1170-nucleotide long non-coding RNA. Lineage: Eukaryota; Metazoa; Chordata; Aves; Apterygiformes; Apterygidae. The record is from Ensembl.
AUGAUGUUUCUCUACCUGAAAGACCAACACCCGGUGAUCUGCUGGAGGAACAACACAGCAAGGCACAAGCAAUCCAGGAGGUCCCUGCAGAGCACUGAUGAUAACUUUCUCACACAGGUGAUAGAGGAGCCAAUGAGCAGAGGUGCACUGCAGGACCUUGUACUAACAAACAAGGAAAGGCUGGUUGGAGAUGUCAAGGCUGGGGGCAGCCUGGCCUGCAGUGACUGCAAGACGGUGGAGUUCAGGAUCCUGAGAGGAGGAAGCAGGGCAAAAAGCAGGAUCACAACCCUCGGCUUCAGGAGAGCUAACUGUGGCCUCUUCAGGAACAUUCUUGCAAGAAUCCCAUGUGGUAGGGCCCUCGAAGGAAGAGGCGUCCAAGACAGCUGGUUAAGAUUCAAGGAUCACUUCCUCCAAGCUCAAGAACGGUGCAUCCCAACGACCAAGAAGUCGAGCAAAGGGGGCACGAGACCUGCACGCAUGAACAAGGAGCUCCUGGCAAAACUCAAACAGAAGGAGGAAGUGUACAGAAGGUGGAAGCACGGACAGGCCACUUGGGAAGAAUAUAGGAACAUCGCCAGAGCACGCAGGGAUGCGACAAGGAAGGCCAAGGCCCAUUUGGAGUUUAAUCUGGCAAGGGAUGUCAAGGACAGCAAGAAGCGCUUCUUCAAAUACUUCAGCAACAAAAGGAAGGCUAGGGAAGAUGUGGGACCACUACCAAAUGGGGCAGUGGUCCUGGUGACGAUGGAUACAGAGAAGGCAGAGAUACUGAAGGCCUCCUUUGCUUCAGUCUUUGCUGCUAAGACCAGCCCUCAGGAAUCCCAGAACAUGGAGACCAGGGGGAAAGCCUGGAGAAAGGAAGACCCUCUCUUGGUGGAGGAGGAUCAGGUUAGAGAUCAUUUAAGAAAACUUGACAUCCACAAGUCCACAGGCCCUGAUGGGAUGCACCCACGAGUGCUGAGGGAGCUGACAGAUGUCAUUGCUAGGCCACUCUCAAUCAACUUGGAAAGGACAUGGAGAACAGGAAGGGUGCCUGAGCACUGGAAGAAAACUAAUGGCACUCCAGUCUUCAAAGAGAGGCAAGAAGGACGACCCAGGGAACUACAGACCAGUCAGCCUCACCUCCAUCCCUCGAAAGCUGAUGGAACAGCUCAUCCUGGAUGCCAUCUCUAA